AAGUUCGUCUGCUAUUAAUAGUUGAAGCAGCGAAAAUAGAAACUCGUGAAAGAAGUAGGCCUACGAAAGAUAUGAAUCAUGGAAAACUUUGAUGACAGUGAUGCGAUUCCAGAUUUGGUUGAUAUCGUGGACGAUCGUCCGCCGAUAAGUUCUCUCGUGGUUGAAAAUACCAUUGUCAAAACCGUGCCGGUAACGAUAGUAACUGGAUUUUUAGGCGCCGGUAAAACCACCUUUCUUAAUUUCAUCUUGACUGAACAGCACGAGAAAAAAAUUGCUGUUAUUCUGAACGAAUUUGGUGAAGGAAGUGUUCUUGAGAAAAGCCUUGCUGUGGGGACACAAGGUGACUUGUAUGAAGAAUGGCUAGAAUUACGGAAUGGUUGCCUGUGCUGUUCAGUCAAAGAUAAUGGAGUUAAAGCAAUAGAAAACUUGAUGAAGAAAAAAGGAAGAUUUGACUACAUUCUUUUGGAGACAACUGGAUUAGCUGAUCCUGGACCAAUUGCUUCACUUUUUUGGCUUGACAGUGAACUCUGUAGUGAUAUUCAUUUAGAUGGAGUGAUAACGCUGGUCGACGCCAAACACGGACUGAGGCAAAUCAACGAAGUUAAACCGGAUGGUUCAGUUAACGAAGCCACAAGACAAAUUGCCCUUGCGGAUGUCAUCCUGUUAAAUAAAGAAGACCUUGUCACAGCGGAGGAGCUUUCAGAAUUAAAAAACCACAUACAAACUAUCAAUAGUGAGGCUACAUUCAUCACCACUCAUCACGGCAGGGUUAAUUUAAAUGAAGUAUUAGACCUUGGACUAUACUAUCAAGCGACUAAUCUCAGAUCUCUUGAGAAUAGCCCAUCGAAGUUUUCCAAUUCGUCGGAAAGCCAUCUCGAUUUGUCGGUACGCAGUGUGACACUGGAAUUGAACGAGCGGCUCACACCCGAAAUCGUGGACACCUAUUUACAGCGAUUACUAUGGGAGAAAGAUGUUGUGAAUUCAUUAGGAUUGACCCUCGAAAUAUUUCGAAUAAAGGGUAUCGUGCGAUAUUCGCAGCCGGAAUUAGUUCAACCGUCCUUUGUCAUCAUUCAAGCCGUUUACGACACUUACGACACGAUGCCAGUCAAGCCAGAAGCGACGAACACCGCCGAUCUCAGCUCGCAACCCGAUGUUCGCUUUGUGUUUAUCGGUCGCCAUUUGGAGCUCGGAGUCCUGAAAAACAUCUUGCUGCAACUUCUUCGUCCGGACUAAACGUGGCGGCUGGUGCAGAUGUACUUUGAAGGAAUCGAAAGUUGAAUUCUCGGAAUGAAAUGUUUAGAAUCUUGUUAACAAGGCGCUUUUCACUUCCCGUGUUGGCAUCGCCAGUCCAAUUCUGCACACGGAAUCAGUUUGCGAAACGCAACUGACUGUUUCAAUGAGUUAAUCUACAAUAUCCACAUCCCUUCCAAGAAUUAUGCUAUUGACCAUGCAGUGUUAGAUGUCGAGAGAAUUACAUGACCCGCUCCAUUUGUA
Molecule: RNA transcript, 1494 nt
Organism: Daphnia pulex (common water flea)
Lineage: Eukaryota; Metazoa; Arthropoda; Branchiopoda; Diplostraca; Daphniidae
Gene name: COBW domain-containing protein 1-like
Exons: 14
Source: RefSeq, a predicted model, not a curated record